GUGGGGAAUUUUGGACAAUGGGCGCAAGCCUGAUCCAGCAAUGCCGCGUGCAGGAAGAAGGCCUUCGGGUUGUAAACUGCUUUUGUACGGAACGAAACGGUCCUGGUUAAUACCUGGGGCUAAUGACGGUACCGUAAGAAUAAGCACCGGCUAACUACGUGCCAGCAGCCGCGGUAAUACGUAGGGUGCGAGCGUUAAUCGGAAUUACUGGGCGUAAAGCGUGCGCAGGCGGUGCUGUAAGACAGGCGUGAAAUCCCCGGGCUCAACCUGGGAAUUGCGCUUGUGACUGCAGUGCUGGAGUACGGCAGAGGGGGAUGGAAUUCCGCGUGUAGCAGUGAAAUGCGUAGAUAUGCGGAGGAACACCGAUGGCGAAGGCAGUCCCCUGGGCCUGUACUGACGCUCAUGCACGAAAGCGUGGGGUGCAAACAGGAUUAGAUACCCGAGUAGUCC
RNAcentral lists this ribosomal RNA (450 nucleotides) under uncultured bacterium. RNAcentral's name for it is "partial 16S ribosomal RNA". It matches the Rfam family "Bacterial small subunit ribosomal RNA", at positions 354 to 796 of the family's 1533-position model. The record is from RNAcentral.